This 71-nucleotide transfer RNA is filed under the name Loxodonta africana (African savanna elephant). It matches the Rfam family "tRNA". From Rfam's summary of the family: Transfer RNA (tRNA) molecules are approximately 80 nucleotides in length. Lineage: Eukaryota; Metazoa; Chordata; Mammalia; Proboscidea; Elephantidae. The record is from Rfam by way of RNAcentral.
GCAGUGACGGUUCAGUGGUAGAAUUCUUGCCUUUCAUGUGGGAGACCUGGGUUCGAUUCCUGGCCAAUACA